RNAcentral lists this non-coding RNA (127 nucleotides) under Ornithorhynchus anatinus (platypus). The record is from RNAcentral. Lineage: Eukaryota; Metazoa; Chordata; Mammalia; Monotremata; Ornithorhynchidae.
AUGCUUAUGAAAAGAGAGAAGGUUAGCACUCCCCCUGAGAAGGAAAGAAGAGGUCCUAGUGGCCUUUACAACACAUAUAUGGUUAAGGCAUUGCCACCUGCUUUGUGGCAUCUAACCAAGUUUUUAG